Molecule: ribosomal RNA, 468 nt
Filed under: uncultured bacterium
Lineage: Bacteria
Description: partial 16S ribosomal RNA
Rfam family: Bacterial small subunit ribosomal RNA
Source: RNAcentral
GACGAACGCUGGCGGCGUGCUUAACACAUGCAAGUCGAACGGAAAGGCCCUGCUCUUGCUGGGUGCUCGAGUGGCGAACGGGUGUGUAAAACGUGAGUAUACUGCCCUUGACUUUGUGAUAACUUCAGGAAACUGCGGCUAAUAUCGGAUAGGAGCUCCUGCUGCACGGGGGGGGUUGGAAAGAUUCGGCGGUUGGGGAUGGUCUCGCUGCUUAUCAGCUGGUUGGUCGGGUAGGGGCGUACGAAGGCUUUGAAGGGUAGCCGGCCUGGGAGGGUGACCGGCCACAUGGGGACUGAGAUACGGCCCAGGCUGCUACGGGAGGCAGCAGUGGGGAAUAUUGCGCAACGGGCGCAAGCCUGAUGCAGCAACGCCGCGUGCGGGAUGACGGCCUUCGGGUUGUAAACAGCUUUCGCCGGUGACGAAGCGUGAGUGACGGUAAUGGGUAAAGAAGCACCGGCUAACUACGUG